Long non-coding RNA from Arabidopsis thaliana (thale cress), 435 nucleotides. RefSeq annotates it as other RNA. The record is from RefSeq. The transcript has a single exon. Lineage: Eukaryota; Viridiplantae; Streptophyta; Magnoliopsida; Brassicales; Brassicaceae.
CAGUAUUGUAUAAAUAAGUUAGGUUUUUUUCCCAACAAUUCGAUCUAUUAUAAAGCUUAUUCAUAUACUUAUUAUGCAUUAGUUUAUGUAUCGCCUUCCUACACUGAACAAAGGGGUGGAACAGGUGUAGGAAUUCCAACAACUCCUGAAACUAUAUUCUCUGUUCUCCCAUGGGAGCUCGGACCAGAAUUCCACCAGCAACCUCUCGUUGACGAAGCAUGUAGGAGCUGGACGUUUUUCUGUAAAGACCCUCCCAAAAAUAAUUACCCUACAAUGGGUGAGACUUCAUUGUACUGGAAAAAAAAAGAAAUCCCAUUUGAUAAGGAUUGAUACAUAUGAAGUUUUUCAUGCCAUAUAUUCCCUCAUUGCCAGUGUAAUCUCAAAACCUCGAGGGAAACAGGGUGAUUCAGAGCUUAUCUAUACUCCCACAUGGGU